Long non-coding RNA from Mugil cephalus (flathead mullet), 111 nucleotides. RefSeq lists it as uncharacterized. The record is from RefSeq and is a predicted model, not a curated record. NCBI's taxonomy places the organism in Eukaryota, Metazoa, Chordata, Actinopteri, Mugiliformes, Mugilidae. The transcript has 3 exons.
GCUUCUUUGUUGCUGCAGAAAAAUAAAGGAUGCAUGCAGUAACAGUCUCUCUCAGUCUCUGAACAUCAACCAAGGCUCUGCUACACAGCAAACAGUGAACCAGAAUGAAAC